This 279-nucleotide ribosomal RNA is filed under the name uncultured bacterium. Its description in RNAcentral is "partial 16S ribosomal RNA". It matches the Rfam family "Bacterial small subunit ribosomal RNA", at positions 506 to 784 of the family's 1533-position model. The record is from RNAcentral.
UGCCAGCCGCCGCGGUAAUACGGAGGGUCCAAGCGUUAUUCGGAAUCACUGGGCUUAAAAGGUGCGUAGGCGGCUUUAUAAGUCAGGUGUGAAAUCCCACGGCUCAACCGUGGAACUGCGCUUGAAACUAUUUAGCUUGAGUAUCUCAGGGGUGAGCGGAACUUCCAGUGGAGCGGUGAAAUGUGUUGAUAUUGGAAGGAACACCGGUAGCGAAAGCGGCUCACUGGGGGAUGACUGACGCUGAGGCACGAAAGCUAGGGGAGCGAACAGGAUUAGAUA